RNAcentral lists this ribosomal RNA (468 nucleotides) under uncultured bacterium. Its description in RNAcentral is "partial 16S ribosomal RNA". It matches the Rfam family "Bacterial small subunit ribosomal RNA", at positions 28 to 507 of the family's 1533-position model. The record is from RNAcentral.
GACGAACGCUGGCGGCGUGCUUAACACAUGCAAGUCGAACGGAAAGGCCCUGCUUUUGUGGGGUGCUCGAGUGGCGAACGGGUGAGUAACACGUGAGUAACCUGCCCUUGACUUUGGGAUAACUUCAGGAAACUGGGGCUAAUACCGGAUAGGAGCUCCUGCUGCAUGGUGGGGGUUGGAAAGUUUCGGCGGUUGGGGAUGGACGCGCGGCUUAUCAGCUUGUUGGUGGGGUAGUGGCUUACCAAGGCUUUGACGGGUAGCCGGCCUGGGAGGGUGACCGGCCACAUUGGGACUGGGGUACGGGCCAGAGUGCUACGGGAGGCAGCAGUGGGGAAUGUUGCCCAAUGGGCGGAAGCCUGAUGCAGCAACGCCGCGUGCGGGAUGACGGCCUUCGGGUUGUAAACCGCUUUCGCCUGUGACGAAGCGUGAGUGACGGUAAUGGGUAAAGAAGCACCGGCUAACUACGUG